CUGGCGGCAGGCCUAAGACAUGCAAGUCGUACGCGAACGACCUUUCGGGGUUAAGUAGAGUGGCGAACGGGUUAGUAACGCGUGGGAACAUACACAGCACAGGGGGAUAACCAUUGGAAACGAUGGCUAAUACCGCAUACGCCCUAUUGGGGAAAGAUUUAUCGGUGUUGGAUUGGCCCGCGUUAGAUUAGCUAGUUGGUGGGGUAAUGGCUCACCAAGGCGACGAUUUAUAGCUGGUUUGAGAGGAUGAUCAGCAACACUGGAACUGAGACACGGUCCAGACUCCUACGGGAGGCAGCAGUCGGGAAUAUUGUGCAAUGGGGGCAACCCUGACACAGCCAUGCCGCGUGAGUGAAGAAGGCCUUAGGGUUGUAAAGCUCUUUCAGAUGUGAGGAUGAUGACGAUAGCAUCAGAAGAAGCUCCGGCUAACUUCGUGCCAGCAGCCGCGGUAAUACGAAGGGAGCUAGCGCUGUUCGGAAUUACUGGGCGUAAAGGGCGUG
RNAcentral lists this ribosomal RNA (500 nucleotides) under uncultured bacterium. RNAcentral's name for it is "bacterial SSU rRNA". It matches the Rfam family "Bacterial small subunit ribosomal RNA", at positions 36 to 571 of the family's 1533-position model. The record is from RNAcentral.